GCUGACGUCUGCUGGAGCAGGCUCUGUUCGGGGUGUUGUGUGAGCUGGUGGAGACCCAGGCCCUGUUUGUCUCUGGCAGGGGCCUAAGCUGGUAGGAGCUCGCUGGGGUCGUGUCUGAAGGUGACUCGGUUUCGAGAGUGGGCGCUGGGAUCCCUGGAACUGAUUUUCCUUCUUUCACUUUGCUUGCAGGGAGAGGAGGCAGGCGGGAGGAGCGGCCCUUUGUGGACCAGUUUGGAUUUGACGUGGUGACGUGCUGUGGAUACCUCCCCCAGGUGAAUGACUGGCAGGAGGACUGGGUCGUGUUCUAUGCCCGGCAGCGCAUUCAGCCCCAGAUGGACAUGGUGGAGAAGGAGUCUGGGGACAGGGAGGCCCUCCAGCUUUGGUCUGCUCUGCAGUUGAAGAUCCCUGACCUGUUCCGUGACCUGGAGAUCAUCCCAGCCUUACUCCACGGGGACCUCUGGGGCGGAAACGUGGCAGAGGAUUCCUCUGGGCCGGUCAUUUUUGACCCAGCUUCUUUCUACGGCCACUCGGAAUAUGAGCUGGCAAUAGCUGGCAUGUUUGGGGGCUUUAGCAGCUCCUUUUACUCUGCCUACCACAGCAAAAUCCCCAAGGCCCCGGGAUUCGAGAAGCGCCUUCAGUUGUAUCAGCUCUUUCACUACU
This 660-nucleotide small RNA is filed under the name Pongo abelii (Sumatran orangutan). RNAcentral's name for it is "retained intron". The record is from RNAcentral. Lineage: Eukaryota; Metazoa; Chordata; Mammalia; Primates; Hominidae.